This 432-nucleotide ribosomal RNA is filed under the name uncultured bacterium. RNAcentral describes it as "partial 16S ribosomal RNA". It matches the Rfam family "Bacterial small subunit ribosomal RNA", at positions 29 to 507 of the family's 1533-position model. The record is from RNAcentral.
ACGAACGCUGGCGGCAUGCCUAACACAUGCAAGUCGAACGAGACCUUCGGGUCUAGUGGCGCACGGGUGCGUAACGCGUGGGAACCUGCCCUUAGGUUCGAAAUAACUCCCCGAAAGGGGUGCUAAUACCGGAUAAUGUCUUCGGACCAAAGAUUUAUCGCCUUUGGAUGGGCCCGCGUUGGAUUAGCUAGUUGGUAGGGUAAAAGCCUACCAAGGCGACGAUCCAUAGCUGGUCUGAGAGGAUGAUCAGCCACACUGGGACUGAGACACGGCCCAGACUCCUACGGGAGGCAGCAGUGGGGAAUAUUGGACAAUGGGCGAAAGCCUGAUCCAGCAAUGCCGCGUGAGUGAUGAAGGCCUUAGGGUUGUAAAGCUCUUUUACCCGGGAUGAUAAUGACAGUACCGGGAGAAUAAGCUCCGGCUAACUCCGUG